This 460-nucleotide ribosomal RNA is filed under the name uncultured bacterium. RNAcentral describes it as "partial 16S ribosomal RNA". It matches the Rfam family "Bacterial small subunit ribosomal RNA", at positions 338 to 795 of the family's 1533-position model. The record is from RNAcentral.
CCUACGGGAGGCAGCAGUGAGGAAUAUUGGUCAAUGGGCGCGAGCCUGAACCAGCCAAGUAGCGUGAAGGAUGACUGCUCUACGGGUUGUAAACUUCUUUUAUAAAGGAAUAAAGUGAGGCACGUGUGCCUAUUUGUAUGUACUUUAUGAAUAAGGAACGGCUAACUCCGUGCCAGCAGCCGCGGUAAUACGGAGGAUCCGAGCGUUAUCCGGAUUUAUUGGGUUUAAAGGGAGCGUAGAUGGGUUGUUAAGUCAGUUGUGAAAGUUUGCGGCUCAACCGUAAAAUUGCAAUUGAUACUGGCAGCCUUGAGUACAGAUGAGGUAGGCGGAAUUCGUGGUGUAGCGGUGAAAUGCUUAGAUAUAACGAAGAACUCCGAUGGCGAAGGCAGCCCACUAAACUGCCACUGACAUUGAUGCUCGAAAGUGUGGGUAGCAAACAGGAUUAGAUACCCCGGUAGUC